CCUACGGGGGGCUGCAGUGGGGAAUAUUGCACAAUGGGGGAAAGCCUGAUGCAGCGACGCCGCGUGAGCGAUGACGUAUUUCUGUAUGUAAAGCUCUAUCAGCAGGGGAAUAAAUGGCGGUACCUGACUAAGAAGCCCCGGCUAACUACGUGCCGGCAGCCGCGCUAAUACGUAGGGGGCCAGCGUUAUCCGGAUUUACUGGGUGUUAAGGGAGCGUAGACGGAGAUGCAAGCCAGAUGUGAAAGCCCGGGGCUCAACCGCGGGACUGCAUUUGGAACUGUAUAGCUGGAGUGUCGGAGAGGCAGGCGGAAUUCCUAGUGUAGCGGUGAAAUGCGUAGAUAUUAGGAGGAACACCAGUGGCGAAGGCGGCCUGCUGGACGAUGACUGACGUUGAGGCUCGAAAGCGUGGGGAGCAAACAGGAUUAGAUACCCUUGUAGUC
Molecule: ribosomal RNA, 440 nt
Filed under: uncultured bacterium
Lineage: Bacteria
Description: partial 16S ribosomal RNA
Rfam family: Bacterial small subunit ribosomal RNA
Source: RNAcentral